RNAcentral lists this ribosomal RNA (492 nucleotides) under uncultured bacterium. RNAcentral describes it as "partial 16S ribosomal RNA". It matches the Rfam family "Bacterial small subunit ribosomal RNA", at positions 29 to 507 of the family's 1533-position model. The record is from RNAcentral.
AGUGAACGCUGGCGGUAGGCCUAACACAUGCAGGUCGAACGGCAGCACAGUAAGAGCUUGCUCUUACGGGUGGCGAGUGGCGGACGGGCGAGGAAUACAUCGGAAUCUACUUUUUCGUGGGGGAUAACGUAGGGAAACUUACGCUAAUACCGCAUACGACCUACGGGUGAAAGCAGGGGAUCUUCGGACCUUGCGCGAUUGAAUGAGCCGAUGUCGGAUUAGCUAGUUGGCGGGGUAAAGGCCCACCAAGGCGACGAUCCGUAGCUGGUCUGAGAGGAUGAUCAGCCACACUGGAACUGAGACACGGUCCAGACUCCUACGGGAGGCAGCAGUGGGGAAUAUUGGACAAUGGGCGCAAGCCUGAUCCAGCCAUACCGCGUGGGUGAAGAAGGCCUUCGGGUUGUAAAGCCCUUUUGUUGGGAAAGAAAAGCAGCAGGUUAAUACCCCGCUGUUCUGACGGUACCCAAAGAAUAAGCACCGGCUAACUUCGUG